RNAcentral lists this ribosomal RNA (147 nucleotides) under Epichloe festucae Fl1. RNAcentral describes it as "5.8S ribosomal RNA". It matches the Rfam family "5.8S ribosomal RNA". Rfam says of the family: 5.8S ribosomal RNA (5.8S rRNA) is a component of the large subunit of the eukaryotic ribosome. It is transcribed by RNA polymerase I as part of the 45S precursor that also contains 18S and 28S rRNA. The record is from RNAcentral. Lineage: Eukaryota; Fungi; Ascomycota; Sordariomycetes; Hypocreales; Clavicipitaceae.
CAACAACGGAUCUCUUGGUUCUGGCAUCGAUGAAGAACGCAGCGAAAUGCGAUAAGUAAUGUGAAUUGCAGAAUUCAGUGAAUCAUCGAAUCUUUGAACGCACAUUGCGCCCGCCAGUAUUCUGGCGGGCAUGCCUGUUCGAGCGUC